UUAUGGAGAAGGGAGAGGCUCUAUGGUAAUGGUGUUGGAUAAGAUGGUGGUUUGUGAAUAACCAAGAGCCCAGAGGGAGUGUGAGUUCAAGAGAGGUAGGUAGCUUGAGGCCUAGUGAUUGAUUGAUUGAUGGACAAUGGUCGAAUGGUGCUUGGUGUGUGCUUAUUGGUAGUAGUGGUUGGAUUGGAGUUGUGUAAUGGUGUAGUGAUUUCGGUUGUGGGCUUUGGAUUGUUGGGUGGCUGGUGAGAGUUGAAAA
Molecule: long non-coding RNA, 256 nt
Filed under: Gossypium barbadense (sea-island cotton)
Lineage: Eukaryota; Viridiplantae; Streptophyta; Magnoliopsida; Malvales; Malvaceae
Description: long non-coding RNA (GBAR_LNC019974)
Source: RNAcentral